CUGACAGAAACGAAAGCAAAUUGCAAAUGCAAAAAAUUAUUUCAUUUCUAAAAAAUACACGAGGAUAUGAACUGCGACACUUCACACCGGCAGAGGUUUUGUUGGUGCUUCGUGAAGUAUACCAACGUAAAGCGUUGCAGUUCAUACCCUCAUGUAUUUUCAAUGCAUGUGAUUUCAUUGCAUUUUUUAAAUGCGCAUAAAAUAUGCAACUCAUCGAAAUACAUGUAUAUCUCGAGAACAGUAAUACAAUCAAAGUACUUUUUUUUUUUAUUUCCAUUUGAUGUCAAUCUUUCAGCAUAUACAGUGUAACAUGCGCUGAUUUAGUGUUGGGAUCGGGUGGUCCGGACCCACCCACCCACCCCCCCUUUUUUUUUUAGGAAUUUGCAAAAUAUAUUUCAAAUUGCAUGAAAAACUGAGUUAUUACAUCUGUACGAUAAGUAAUGAGGAUGGACUAUCAUGAAAUAAUUGCUAAAGUGUUAUCAAACGAAGAUAUACUGGACAUGUUUGUUUAAAACCCUUCUUUUCUUACAGUUGACAUAUUUACCGGUGACUGACGUAAGACUUUUAUUUAUCCUCGAUGUUUGACCACAUGAUGGGAUUCGACGUAUUAAUACUUGCACCUUUCACUGUUUUCCCAACAACAAACUUCUGGACAAUAUAAACCAUUGUCUGACAGUAUUAUACAGCAUUGUCAGAAAGUCACUGACGUUAGUUCAGUUUAGAUUUUCACUACAUCAUUAAAAAUAUCAUUUAUCAGGCAGGGAAACCGAAGAUUUUGUCAACAAGUCUCUUUGACUAAAUAACACCACAAUCCAGAAAAAAAAUCAGCACAUGUUGAAACGUUUAGUCAUCUUUUGUCUCCUUGGCAUUGGAAAAAUCGGAUAAAAUGGCAAUAUGUGUCGUGUGGGUAUUUCAACCCCGCCCCUUUUCCUUUUGUACUGUUUCAAUGAUCACUGGUCCAUAACGCUCAGAAGCUCAUUUUAAAGGGACUGGAGGGUUUUUUUUUCUUGCCAACAGUUCGAUCCCCCCUUGAAAAAAAAAUUCCUGGAUCCAUGCAUGCUAUGAUCACAUUUUCAUACUAGUUAAUCAGAUUCCGCUACUUGAACCCUUUGUAUAUCGACUUAAUGUAACAUUUACACCAUUUUAUAUCGACUCAAUAUUAUAUUACCAAGAUUUGUUGUCCUACUGUGUGCUAAUCAAGCAUCUUCCAUACACAUUACUUUGUGAUAAUGCACAGAUGUGCACCGGUAAUCGAAACCAUGUGCCACCACUUGCAGGGAUGGAUCACAUCUCCGACACUGGUUCCGUCUCAAUAUCAUACCAUUCAAUUACUCAUUAUUAACACCAUGCACAGAAACAUCCAGAUCUAGUUUUGUACGCGCAUGUGUUUACUAGCAAAGGAACAGUAUUACGAAAUGAAUUAUUUGUCAACACUACAACAUCUACAAAACAAAAAUCAUUCAGUUAACUAAGACCUUAGAUCGUCCCUUUCCACAUAUGAAAAGUACGAUUUCACAGAAUUGGAUAAUUUCAUUCCAUAUAAUGACCAGACUUUGCAUUCAUUUCCUGACUGUAUACGAUUUACGGUUAACUCUUCUAAUUGUCGUGUCAAAUUCAAUUACGAGUAUGUCCUAAAAUACAAAGGUUAAUUAUUAAAAGUAAUAAAACUCGUCACCUAUUUCAUUUCCUAGCUGGACGACUUUAUCCAUUCUAGAUCCGAUUGCAAUUACAUCCAAAGUUUGUAUCAAUAUCCAUAGAAAUCAAGUCGAGACCACUGAUACAAUGUUACGACCAGUCUACCAAAAUCUGUAACAAUGUGUACAUAUCCACGUUUUCAUCUCCGAUGAAUUUUGACGUUAAUGAUGUUUUAGAGGUUGCCCGUCUAUCAAUUCCUCGUGGAACCUUGUCAGCACUGAUCUUCUUAUCCAACUUUUCUGCGAAAAAAUCUGAUUGCACGCGCGGCGCUCGUACGCAAAAUAAACAGAUCUUGUCAAUAUUUAUUCCAGUAGUUAAAAUAGAUUUUAAGUAUCCUAGGUGUAAUUUCCUGGUGAAGUAUUGGACACAACUUCAGAGUAUUGAGAAACACAAGAAGAACCCCUUGCCAUGGAUAUGACGUAAUCACAGUAAAGGUUGAAACCACCAAUCCCAAGACGACUAGACCUGACUCCGUAUGACUUGUAUUUGAAUGACAUAAUUGGCUUUGUUUACAUGGUUUUGCUCACAAUACCUGCAGAAAGCUGUGUGAGUGUUAUCUGCGCAAUGUUUGAGAUUAUUUUCGAAACGUUUGAUUGUAAUCUUUUAACACAGCUUCUUCUAUCCCUUCACGCAGAUGAUACUUUUUUCCCGAAACGACUGAAGAUUGCACCAAAGAGAAAACCAUGCUACCACUUAGAUGCCUGGUGUAGUUUUUGAAUAGCUUUGAUCAAUCCCUUAACCUAAUAAAUGUGGACUUGUAUGUUACUUAUUAGUACAAUAACUGGCACUUCAUUUAGCAUUUGUUUGACAGUAAUCACUUAUCCGCAAUUUGAGCGUUACAUAACACGUGGUGUCUUGGGGAAAAGAUUCUGUAGGUUCUGAUUAAACGUGCGGUGUAAAUUGUUUCGUCAUAGGUCAUAGGUUAUUGGGUUCUCAGAUGGACACUACUAUCAUGCUACAUGUAGCUUUUGAUUUUCUAAAUUGUUUAUUAAACGUAAUACUGUAUAUUUCAGUUCAUACAAUAUUCUAUUAUGUGUAAAACAUAAAUGAAUUAAAAUGAAAUAGCCUAUGCAAGUAUACAAGGCAGUGAAGAAAUGUAUCAAGAAUUACACAUAGAUAAAAAUAAAUAAUCUAUUUCUGUGACAAACAGAAA
Long non-coding RNA from Ostrea edulis (European flat oyster), 2848 nucleotides. RefSeq lists it as uncharacterized. The transcript is spliced from 2 exons. Lineage: Eukaryota; Metazoa; Mollusca; Bivalvia; Ostreida; Ostreidae. The record is from RefSeq and is a predicted model, not a curated record.